Non-coding RNA from Actinobacteria bacterium RBG_13_35_12, 174 nucleotides. The record is from Rfam. NCBI's taxonomy places the organism in Bacteria, Bacillati, Actinomycetota.
UGCAUCGUGAGGUGGAAUCUGAAGGAAGCUGUAGGCAAAGCUUCAGGCCUUAAGAAACACGAAUUACAUAUAAGGCCAUACAAUCUGGAUGAGUUUGCCAUCCAAAAUGAAAUCCAAUACUACCAAAAGAUUGUAUGGUAGGUGUAGCAGGUAGAUGGGGUGAAGGCUAUUAUU